Molecule: unclassified non-coding RNA, 520 nt
Filed under: uncultured Glomus
Lineage: Eukaryota; Fungi; Glomeromycota; Glomeromycetes; Glomerales; Glomeraceae
Description: SSU rRNA
Rfam family: Eukaryotic small subunit ribosomal RNA
Source: RNAcentral
AGCAGCCGCGGUAAUUCCAGCUCCAAUAGCGUAUAUUAAAGUUGUUGCAGUUAAAAAGCUCGUAGUUGAAUUUCGGGAUCAAUUAAUUGGUCGUGCCUCUGGUACGUACUGAUUUUAUUGGUUUCUCCCUUCUGACGAACCAUGAUGUCAUUAAUUUGGUGUCGUGGAGAAUCAGGACUGUUACUUUGAAAAAAUUAGAGUGUUUAAAGCAAGCUAACGCUUGAAUACAUUAGCAUGGAAUAAUGAAAUAGGACGUUUGAUCCUAUUUUGUUGGUUUCUAGGAUCGACGUAAUGAUUAAUAGGGAUAGUUGGGGGCAUUAGUAUUCAAUUGUCAGAGGUGAAAUUCUUGGAUUUAUUGAAGACUAACUACUGCGAAAGCAUUUGCCAAGGAUGUUUUCAUUAAUCAAGAACGAAAGUUAGGGGAUCGAAGACGAUCAGAUACCGUCGUAGUCUUAACCAUAAACUAUGCCGACUAGGGAUCGGAUGAUGUUAAUUUUUUAAUGACUCAUUCGGCACCUUA